AGGAUAAACGCUGGCGGCGUGCCUAACACAUGCAAGUCGAACGCGCUUUUUUCGCAAGAGGAGAGCGAGUGGCGGACGGGUGAGUAACACAUGGGUACCUACCUUGGAGUGAGGGAUACCGGCGAGAAAUCGCCGACAAUACCGCAUACGCUUCUCUUCACCGGGAAGCAAAGUUGCGCAAGCGACGCUCUGAGAUGGGCCUGUGGCCGAUUAGCUAGUUGGUGGGGUAACGGCCUACCAAGGCGACGAUCGGUAGCUGGUCUGAGAGGACGAUCAGCCACACUGGGAUUGAGAACGGCCCAGACUCCUACGGGGGGCAGCAGUGAGGAAUUUUCGUCAAUGGGGGUAACCCUGACGGAGCGACGCCGCGUGUGGGAAGAAGGCCUUCGGGUCGUAAACCACUGUCGAGGGGACGAUAUUGACGGUACCCUGGAGGAAGCCCCGGCUAACUACGUGCCAGCAGCCGC
This 467-nucleotide ribosomal RNA is filed under the name uncultured bacterium. Its description in RNAcentral is "SSU rRNA". It matches the Rfam family "Bacterial small subunit ribosomal RNA", at positions 26 to 518 of the family's 1533-position model. The record is from RNAcentral.